GAUGAAGAACGCAGCGAAACGCUAUAUGUAAUGUGAAUUGCAGAAUUCAGUGAAUCAUCGAAUCUUUGAACGCACAUGGCGCCUUCCAGUAUCCUGGGAGGCAUGCCUGUCCGAGCGUCGUUUCAACCCUCGAGCCCUCGUGGCCCGGCGUUGGGGAUCUGCCACGGCAGGCCCCGAAAUACAGUGGCGGACCCGUUAGGCCCUUCCUUUGCGUAGUAGCAUUAGCCUCGCAUCGGGAGCCGGCGGGCUCUCCUGCCUCUAAACCCCCCAACAAGCCCGCUCCGGCGGCACCAAGGUUGACCUCGGAUCAGGUAGGAAUACCCGCUGAACUUAAGCAUAUCAAUAAGCGGAGGA
RNAcentral lists this unclassified non-coding RNA (354 nucleotides) under soil metagenome. RNAcentral describes it as "partial contains 5.8S ribosomal RNA, internal transcribed spacer 2, and large subunit ribosomal RNA". The stretch from base 1 to 120 matches the Rfam family "5.8S ribosomal RNA", at positions 35 to 154 of the family's 154-position model. The record is from RNAcentral.